AUGGUCAAGUAAUGAAGUGCACAUGGUGGAUGCCUUGGCAGUCAGAGGCGAUGAAAGACGUGAUAGCCUGCGAUAAGCGUCGGUGAGGUGGCAAUAUCCUGUGACCCGGCGAUUUCUGAAUGGGGAAACCCACCUAAGAUAACUUAGGUAUCAUAAUUUAUUUUAUGAGGCGAACCGGGAGAAGUGAAACAUCUCAGUACCCCGAGGAAAAGACAUCAAUUGAGAUUCCCCAAGUAGCGGCGAGCGAACGGGGAGUAGCCGAUUAGAUUUGUAGUAGCAAAAUGGCGUGGGAAAGCCAACCAUAGUAGGUGAUAGUCCUGUAUGCGAAACUGCAAUUUUAACAUAUUAAGUAGGGCGGAACACGAGAAAUUCUGUCUGAAGAUGGGGGGACCAUCCUCCAAGGCUAAAUACUCCUGACUGACCGAUAGUGAACCAGUACCGUGAGGGAAAGGCGAAAAGAACCCCUGUUAGGGGAGUGAAAUAGAACCUGAAACCGUGUGCAUACAAGCAGUCGGAGCGGACUUGUUCCGUGACGGCGUACCUUUUGUAUAAUGGGUCAGCGACUUAUAUUCUGUAGCAAGCUUAACCGUGUAGGGGAGGCGUAGGGAAACCGAGUCUUAAUAGGGCGUUUUAGUUGCAGGGUAUAGACCCGAAACCGAGUGAUCUAUCCAUGAGCAGGUUGAAAGUGCCGUAACAGGCACCGGAGGACCGAACCCACUCCCGUUGAAAAGGUAGGGGAUGACUUGUGGAUAGGGGUGAAAGGCUAAUCAAACUCGGUGAUAGCUGGUUCUCCCCGAAAGCUAUUUAGGUAGCGCCUCGGACGAAUACCUUGGGGGGUAGAGCACUGUUUCGGCUAGGGGGUCAUCCCGACUUACCAAACCGAUGCAAACUCCGAAUACCCAAGAGUACUAUCCGGGAGACAGACGGCGGGUGCUAACGUCCGUCGUCAAGAGGGAAACAACCCAGACCGCCAGCUAAGGCCCCAAAUUCCUAGUUAAGUGGGAAACGAUGUGGGAAGGCACAGACAGCUAGGAGGUUGGCUUAGAAGCAGCCACCCUUUAAAGAAAGCGUAAUAGCUCACUAGUCGAGUCGGCCUGCGCGGAAGAUGUAACGGGGCUCAAACUAGGAGCCGAAGCUGCGGAUUUAAUUGUUUCAAUUAAGUGGUAGGGGAGCGUUGUGUAAGCCUGUGAAGGUGUAUCGUAAGGUAUGCUGGAGGUAUCACAAGAGCGAAUGCUGACGUGAGUAACGACAAAACGGGUGAAAAGCCCGUUCGCCGGAAGACCAAGGGUUCCAGUCCAACGUUAAUCGGGGCUGGGUGAGUCGACCCCUAAGGCGAGGCCGAAAGGCGUAGUCGAUGGGAAAUCGGUUAAUAUUCCGAUACUUGUUUAUGAUGCGAUGGAGGGACGGAGAAGGUUAUGUCAGCCUGGCGUUGGUUGUCCAGGUGGAAGGAUGUAGGUAGGUUUAGUAGGCAAAUCCGCUAGACUAUUACUGAGAUCUGAUAGCAAGCCAGUUUACUGGCGAAGUGGCAAAUACCCUGCUUCCAGGAAAAGCUUCUAAGCGAUAGUCAUAAACAAAUCGUACCCGAAACCGACACAGGUGGUCAGGUAGAGAAUACCAAGGCGCUUGAGAGAACUCUGCUGAAGGAACUAGGCAAAAUGGUACCGUAACUUCGGGAGAAGGUACGCUGCUGAUGGUGAUAAGACUUGCUCUUUGAGCUGUUGGCAGUCGCAGAUACCAGGCUGCUGCAACUGUUUAUUAAAAACACAGCACUCUGCAAACACGAAAGUGGACGUAUAGGGUGUGAUGCCUGCCCGGUGCUGGAAGGUUAAUUGAUGGGGUUAGCGUAUGCGAAGCUCUUGAUCGAAGCCCCAGUAAACGGCGGCCGUAACUAUAACGGUCCUAAGGUAGCGAAAUUCCUUGUCGGGUAAGUUCCGACCUGCACGAAUGGCAUAAUGAUGGCAGCGCUGUCUCCAGCAGAGACUCAGUGAAAUCGAAAUCGCAGUGAAGAUGCUGUGUACCCGCGGCUAGACGGAAAGACCCCGUGAACCUUUACUACAGCUUUACAUUGAACUUUGACCUAACUUGUGUAGGAUAGGUGGGAGGCUUUGAAGUGGCGACGCCAGUUGCCAUGGAGCCAACCUUGAAAUACCACCCUGGUUAUGUUGGGGUUCUAACUUAGAUAUAACAGUAUCAAGGACAAUGUAUGGUGGGUAGUUUGACUGGGGCGGUCUCCUCCUAAAGAGUAACGGAGGAGUACGAAGGUGCGCUCAGAACGGUCGGAAAUCGUUCAAAGAGUAUAAAGGCAAAAGCGCGCUUAACUGCGAGACCCACAAGUCGAGCAGGUACGAAAGUAGGUCUUAGUGAUCCGGUGGUUCUGUAUGGAAGGGCCAUCGCUCAACGGAUAAAAGGUACUCUGGGGAUAACAGGCUGAUACCGCCCAAGAGUUCAUAUCGACGGCGGUGUUUGGCACCUCGAUGUCGGCUCAUCUCAUCCUGGGGCUGAAGCAGGUCCCAAGGGUAUGGCUGUUCGCCAUUUAAAGAGGUACGCGAGCUGGGUUUAGAACGUCGUGAGACAGUUCGGUCCCUAUCUACCGUGGGCGUUGGAAAUUUGAGAGGAUCUGCUCCUAGUACGAGAGGACCAGAGUGGACGAACCUCUGGUGUUCCGGUUGUUACGCCAGUAGCACUGCCGGGUAGCUAUGUUCGGAUGGGAUAACCGCUGAAAGCAUCUAAGCGGGAAGCCCACCUCAAGAUAAGAUUUCCCUAAAGAGCCGUUGUAGACUACGACGUUGAUAGGUUGGGUGUGGAAGUGUAGUGAUACAUGUAGCUAACCAAUACUAAUUGCUCGUUUGGCUUGACCAUA
Molecule: ribosomal RNA, 2860 nt
Filed under: Moraxella cuniculi DSM 21768
Lineage: Bacteria; Pseudomonadati; Pseudomonadota; Gammaproteobacteria; Moraxellales; Moraxellaceae
Description: bacterial LSU rRNA
Rfam family: Bacterial large subunit ribosomal RNA
Source: RNAcentral